CCUACGGGAGGCUGCAGUCGAGAAUCUUCGGCAAUGGGCGCAAGCCUGACCGAGCGACGCCGCGUGGAGGACGAAGGCCUUCGGGUUGUAAACUCCUGUCGAGGGGAAGGAAGGGGCCCGCGAGGGCCCUUGACCGCUCCCUGGAGGAAGCACGGGCUAAGUUCGUGCCAGCAGCCGCGGUAAGACGAACCGUGCGAACGUUAUUCGGAAUCACUGGGCUUAAAGCGCGUGUAGGCGGGGCGGUGCGUCGGUCGCUGAAAUCCCCCGGCUCAACCGGGGAAGGGGCGCCGAUACGACCGGCCUGGAGCGACGUAGGGGGAACUGGAACUUCCGGUGGAGCGGUGAAAUGCGUUGAGAUCGGAAGGAACGCCCGUGGCGAAAGCGAGUUCCUGGACGUCGGCUGACGCUGAGACGCGAAAGCCAGGGGAGCGAACGGGAUU
This 440-nucleotide ribosomal RNA is filed under the name uncultured bacterium. RNAcentral's name for it is "bacterial SSU rRNA". It matches the Rfam family "Bacterial small subunit ribosomal RNA", at positions 338 to 779 of the family's 1533-position model. The record is from RNAcentral.